RNAcentral lists this ribosomal RNA (491 nucleotides) under uncultured bacterium. RNAcentral describes it as "partial 16S ribosomal RNA". It matches the Rfam family "Bacterial small subunit ribosomal RNA", at positions 29 to 507 of the family's 1533-position model. The record is from RNAcentral.
GUGAACGCUGGCGGUAGGCCUAACACAUGCAAGUCGAACGGCAGCACAGUAUGAGCUUGCUCUUACGGGUGGCGAGUGGCGGACGGGUGAGGAAUACAUCGGAAUCUACUUUUUCGUGGGGGAUAACGUAGGGAAACUUACGCUAAUACCGCAUACGACCUACGGGUGAAAGCAGGGGAUCUUCGGACCUUGCGCGAUUGAAUGAGCCGAUGUCGGAUUAGCUAGUUGGCGGGGUAAAGGCCCACCAAGGCGACGAUCCGUAGCUGGUCUGAGAGGAUGAUCAGCCACACUGGAACUGAGACACGGUCCAGACUCCUACGGGAGGCAGCAGUGGGGAAUAUUGGACAAUGGGCGCAAGCCUGAUCCAGCCAUACCGCGUGGGUGAAGAAGGCCUUCGGGUUGUAAAGCCCUUUUGUUGGGAAAGAAAAGCAGCAGGUUAAUACCCCGCUGUUCUGACGGUACCCAAAGAAUAAGCACCGGCUAACUUCGUG